AUGCGGCGGCAGAUGGCGAUCACGGUGAGGCGGUCCACGAUGGUGCGGCCGGCGGUGGAGAGGCCGCGGGAGAGGCUCUGGAACUCCAACCUCGACCUCGUGGUCCCGCGCUUCCACACGCCCAGCGUCUACUUCUACCGCCGCCCCGAGGCGGGGGCCGACGGCUUCUUCGACGCCGACCGGAUGCGCCUCGCGCUGGCCGACGCGCUCGUGCCCUUCUACCCCAUGGCCGGCCGCCUCGCGCGCGACGAGGACGGCAGGGUCGAGAUCGACUGCAGCGGGGAGGGGGUGCUCUUCGUCGAGGCCGACGCCCCCGGCGCGGCCGUCGACGACUACGGGGACUUCGCGCCCACCAUGGACCUCAAGCGCCUCAUCCCCGCCGUCGACUACUCGGACGACAUAUCCUCCUUCCCGCUCCUCGUGCUUCAGGUGACCUACUUCAAGUGUGGUGGUGUCUCCCUUGGUGUCGGGAUGCAACACCAUGUUGCUGAUGGCAUGUCUGGCUUGCACUUCAUCAACUCGUGGUCUGACCUCUGCCGUGGAGCUAAGAUUGCAGUGAUGCCCUUCAUCGACCGCACUCUUGUCCGUGCUCGUGAUCCACCGACUCCAUCUUACCCACAUAUUGAGUAUCAGCCUGCCCCAGCCAUGUUGUCGUCCGUGCCUCAGGCUCUCAGUGGCAAGCCAACGCCGCCUCCCACUGCUGUGGACAUCUUCAAGCUCACCCUCUCAGAGCUUGGCUGCCUGCGCUCGCAGCUCCCCACAGGUGAAGGUGCGCCAAGGUUCAGCACGUAUGCAGUCUUAGCUGCACAUGUUUGGCGCUGCGUCUCCAUUGCGCGCAACCUUGCUCCUGAACAACCCACCAAGCUGUAUUGUGCCACCGAUGGGCGACAACGGCUGCAGCCCCCGCUGCCAGAAGGUUACUUUGGGAAUGUCAUCUUCACUGCCACCCCGCUCGCCGAGGCAGGCAAGGUGACGAGCGGGCUGGCAGAAGGAGCAGCGGUCAUCCAGGGAGCGCUAGACAGGAUGACCAGCGACUACUGCCAAUCAGCCCUGGACUACCUGGAGAUGCAGCCGGACCUGUCAGCAUUGGUCCGUGGAGCGCACACUUUCCGGUGCCCCAACCUCGGCCUCACCAGCUGGGUGCGCCUGCCGAUCCACGACGCCGAUUUCGGCUGGGGGCGGCCGGUGUUCAUGGGUCCUGGCGGCAUCGCGUACGAGGGACUGGCGUUCGUCCUCCCGAGCGCGACCAAGGACGGCAGCCUGUCCAUCGCCAUCUCAUUGCAGGCAGAGCACAUGGAGAAGUUCAGGAAGCUGAUCCUUGAUGUGUAG
This 1329-nucleotide ribosomal RNA is filed under the name Triticum aestivum (bread wheat). RNAcentral describes it as "partial small subunit ribosomal RNA". The record is from RNAcentral. Lineage: Eukaryota; Viridiplantae; Streptophyta; Magnoliopsida; Poales; Poaceae.